UGUGUUGGAUGGGCCAGCUUCGUAUUUAUUCACUUGCAGGCCCUCUGGAGAAGGGGCACGUUCAGGCCAGCUGGAAUGCCAAGGGUCUUCUGCUGGACAUUCGUUAACGUGAAGUGUUAGUUCAUGUCAGAGUAUCUUCUCAGAGCACAGCUGAGAGCCACAGAGGACCAGAGGGUGGGCUGUUAGGAGCAGUGACGCUGUGGGAGGCCACGUCCACAGUGAACGAUAGGUGUUUCCGCCAACAUGGAAUAGUGACUUAUUAUCAGACACGGUGACUGCACUGAAGCUGGCGUCGCCUGAGUUUGCCUGGAUCUUUGCUACCUGACCCUGGGGAUCCUGUGUGGUGAGCCUCUGCGGGGCCUGCCAGCCAGGCCAGGAGCUUGUGUGACUGUCUGCCAUGAUGAGAGGGUUAAGUGGGUGUCGGAGAGGCUGGUCAAAAAUACCCUCGGGGACAGCCAUGGGCUUUCAAAGGGGCAAGCAAUCAGGAGCAAGAUCCAAGUCCAGGAGUGAUGUCUGAGCCCUGGGAUUGGAGCAGGAGCUACGGGGGAGGCUUUCUACAAGACGUGAGCCCAUGGCAUGAACGAGCUACUGCUUCUCUCACCUGAGUCCUCUUUAGGCUCAUCUACUUCUACGAAUGCCAAGAGAAACAAGAUUUAAAUGAAGAGAGAAAAUGGAACAUAAAAGAACAGGAGACGUUCGUGUUGAUCUAUGGAAAGCUAACCCCUGACGGCAGAUGGGUAACACUUCUCUUCCCACGUGAAAUAAAAGAAAAUUGCAUUCAGCGUGGGGGUAGAUAGCAUAAUGGCUAGGCAGAGACUUGCAUGCCUGAGGCUCCUAAGCCCCAGGUCCAAUCCCACACACCACCCCAAGUCAGAGCUGAGAAAAAUGCAUUCAUAUACAAAACUCACAAGGGUAACACUUCAAUGCUAGAUUUUUGUUAAUUGCAGGGAAGAUGGGACCUGCUUAAAGAUGACUGA
This is a long non-coding RNA of Erinaceus europaeus (western European hedgehog), 977 nucleotides long. RefSeq lists it as uncharacterized. The record is from RefSeq and is a predicted model, not a curated record. The transcript has 3 exons. Lineage: Eukaryota; Metazoa; Chordata; Mammalia; Eulipotyphla; Erinaceidae.